Molecule: ribosomal RNA, 2621 nt
Filed under: Shigella flexneri
Lineage: Bacteria; Pseudomonadati; Pseudomonadota; Gammaproteobacteria; Enterobacterales; Enterobacteriaceae
Description: partial 23S ribosomal RNA
Rfam family: Bacterial large subunit ribosomal RNA
Source: RNAcentral
GGAGCAGCCCAGAGCCUGAAUCAGUGUGUGUGUUAGUGGAAGCGUCUGGAAAGGCGUGCGAUACAGGGUGACAGCCCCGUACACAAAAAUGCACAUACUGUGAGCUCGAUGAGUAGGGCGGGACACGUGGUAUCCUGUCUGAAUAUGGGGGGACCAUCCUCCAAGGCUAAAUACUCCUGACUGACCGAUAGUGAACCAGUACCGUGAGGGAAAGGCGAAAAGAACCCCGGCGAGGGGAGUGAAAAAGAACCUGAAACCGUGUACGUACAAGCAGUGGGAGCACGCUUAGGCGUGUGACUGCGUACCUUUUGUAUAAUGGGUCAGCGACUUAUAUUCUGUAGCAAGGUUAACCGAAUAGGGGAGCCGAAGGGAAACCGAGUCUUAACUGGGCGUUAAGUUGCAGGGUAUAGACCCGAAACCCGGUGAUCUAGCCAUGGGCAGGUUGAAGGUUGGGUAACACUAACUGGAGGACCGAACCGACUAAUGUUGAAAAAUUAGCGGAUGACUUGUGGCUGGGGGUGAAAGGCCAAUCAAACCGGGAGAUAGCUGGUUCUCCCCGAAAGCUAUUUAGGUAGCGCCUCGUGAAUUCAUCUCCGGGGGUAGAGCACUGUUUCGGCAAGGGGGUCAUCCCGACUUACCAACCCGAUGCAAACUGCGAAUACCGGAGAAUGUUAUCACGGGAGACACACGGCGGGUGCUAACGUCCGUCGUGAAGAGGGAAACAACCCAGACCGCCAGCUAAGGUCCCAAAGUCAUGGUUAAGUGGGAAACGAUGUGGGAAGGCCCAGACAGCCAGGAUGUUGGCUUAGAAGCAGCCAUCAUUUAAAGAAAGCGUAAUAGCUCACUGGUCGAGUCGGCCUGCGCGGAAGAUGUAACGGGGCUAAACCAUGCACCGAAGCUGCGGCAGCGACGCUUAUGCGUUGUUGGGUAGGGGAGCGUUCUGUAAGCCUGUGAAGGUGUGCUGUGAGGUAUGCUGGAGGUAUCAGAAGUGCGAAUGCUGACAUAAGUAACGAUAAAGCGGGUGAAAAGCCCGCUCGCCGGAAGACCAAGGGUUCCUGUCCAACGUUAAUCGGGGCAGGGUGAGUCGACCCCUAAGGCGAGGCCGAAAGGCGUAGUCGAUGGGAAACAGGUUAAUAUUCCUGUACUUGGUGUUACUGCGAAGGGGGGACGGAGAAGGCUAUGUUGGCCGGGCGACGGUUGUCCCGGUUUAAGCGUGUAGGCUGGUUUUCCAGGCAAAUCCGGAAAAUCAAGGCCGAGGCGUGAUGACGAGGCACUACGGUGCUGAAGCAACAAAUGCCCUGCUUCCAGGAAAAGCCUCUAAGCAUCAGGUAACAUCAAAUCGUACCCCAAACCGACACAGGUGGUCAGGUAGAGAAUACCAAGGCGCUUGAGAGAACUCGGGUGAAGGAACUAGGCAAAAUGGUGCCGUAACUUCGGGAGAAGGCACGCUGAUACGUAGGUGAAGCGACUUGCUCGUGGAGCUGAAAUCAGUCGAAGAUACCAGCUGGCUGCAACUGUUUAUUAAAAACACAGCACUGUGCAAACACGAAAGUGGACGUAUACGGUGUGACGCCUGCCCGGUGCCGGAAGGUUAAUUGAUGGGGUUAGCGCAAGCGAAGCUCUUGAUCGAAGCCCCGGUAAACGGCGGCCGUAACUAUAACGGUCCUAAGGUAGCGAAAUUCCUUGUCGGGUAAGUUCCGACCUGCACGAAUGGCGUAAUGAUGGCCAGGCUGUCUCCACCCGAGACUCAGUGAAAUUGAACUCGCUGUGAAGAUGCAGUGUACCCGCGGCAAGACGGAAAGACCCCGUGAACCUUUACUAUAGCUUGACACUGAACAUUGAGCCUUGAUGUGUAGGAUAGGUGGGAGGCUUUGAAGUGUGGACGCCAGUCUGCAUGGAGCCGACCUUGAAAUACCACCCUUUAAUGUUUGAUGUUCUAACGUGGACCCGUGAUCCGGGUUGCGGACAGUGUCUGGUGGGUAGUUUGACUGGGGCGGUCUCCUCCUAAAGAGUAACGGAGGAGCACGAAGGUUGGCUAAUCCUGGUCGGACAUCAGGAGGUUAGUGCAAUGGCAUAAGCCAGCUUGACUGCGAGCGUGACGGCGCGAGCAGGUGCGAAAGCAGGUCAUAGUGAUCCGGUGGUUCUGAAUGGAAGGGCCAUCGCUCAACGGAUAAAAGGUACUCCGGGGAUAACAGGCUGAUACCGCCCAAGAGUUCAUAUCGACGGCGGUGUUUGGCACCUCGAUGUCGGCUCAUCACAUCCUGGGGCUGAAGUAGGUCCCAAGGGUAUGGCUGUUCGCCAUUUAAAGUGGUACGCGAGCUGGGUUUAGAACGUCGUGAGACAGUUCGGUCCCUAUCUGCCGUGGGCGCUGGAGAACUGAGGGGGGCUGCUCCUAGUACGAGAGGACCGGAGUGGACGCAUCACUGGUGUUCGGGUUGUCAUGCCAAUGGCACUGCCCGGUAGCUAAAUGCGGAAGAGAUAAGUGCUGAAAGCAUCUAAGCACGAAACUUGCCCCGAGAUGAGUUCUCCCUGACCCUUUAAGGGUCCUGAAGGAACGUUGAAGACGACGACGUUGAUAGGCCGGGUGUGUAAGCGCAGCGAUGCGUUGAGCUAACCGGUAC